RNAcentral lists this long non-coding RNA (2748 nucleotides) under Strongylocentrotus purpuratus (purple sea urchin). Its description in RNAcentral is "uncharacterized LOC105443767". Lineage: Eukaryota; Metazoa; Echinodermata; Echinoidea; Camarodonta; Strongylocentrotidae. The record is from RNAcentral.
UAAAGUAUAACACACACAGCUCAGAUCAGAUUAUCACCGGCGCCGAUCGAACGCUAGACAGCUACAGACAAGCUUUGAUUGAAAUACGAUAACGAGAUCGAGAUUGGAAAAGGAGCUCGAGGUCACGGACGAUGGCCGACUCGGACUCAGCUAGUGCUAAGCCUAAGGACAAGGCUAAGGCUACGCUAAAUCGGAAUAAGACUAAGUAAGACGGUAAGAGGAAGGAGAGAAACAAGCAAUGGCAGCUCGACCAUCCGGCCCAGAGGAGGCGCGGGAGUGGCUGUGAACAAGGCCAGGGUACGGCGGAGAAACUUCGCGAGCUGCAGGCGGCCUUCUCGUUGCCGAGUCUAGAGGAUGCAAUAGACCCUAUGGCUAUGCCAGCUCACUGAGAGAUAUGAAGAACAGACAACACAAUCCAUCCCCAGGGAAGAAAUUCCAAGCAGCAGUAGGGGAAUUAGCAGGUGAAUAGUACAAGUCACCUUUGACCGCAAAUUCAUGGAGAACUUGGCCUACUCUGCUGAUUUGCUCGCUUCAGGCACACCAGCAUGCUCGAGUGUUUCCACAACCAUAUACUGAUGUAUGCUUCCAAGCGGUAUUCCUUUGACUACCCAGCAAACCGGGCAAGGAAUUUGCUUGCGGUCAUCGACUACAUGGCACACAAGGACAGGCCCGACCAGAUUGAUGAACAAGGCAAUACAAAAUAUGUUGCAGUAUGGUCAAAGCGUGCCAACAACUACGUGGCCCGGAAGGAGAAGGUCCCCAAGACCUACCCCUACAUGUAUGUAUAAGGACUCAUCGGUGCGAUACUGGAACGCAGAGAACAGGACCAAGGACCACUGUUCUCGAAGGCUGUUCUGCUCCCUGAUGACCCUAGACACACAAGGCCCCGGCUUGCACCAUUUCCUCCACCACAAGUUGAUGUGAUCCUAGCCAGGAGACUAGGCCGAUUAGAGAAAUCCAUGUAAUCCUCUGUAGUGAACAUUUGGGAUUGUCUGACUUGAGAACUGCUUUUUUUCGAGCAGAGACUAAGGGAUCCAAAUGGCGUCCUUCCGUCCAUCCUCCGUGACUGUACACAAAUUUGAAUGAAGUCUAAUGUGAAAUCUUACCUGCAAAAAUCAAUUAGGGUUGCUAACUUUCCAACCCUGCAUCUGUUAAUAACCAUACUUGAUUGGUAGAUGCCCUUUAUUGGCCACCAUGAUAUUCUGGAGUUGAAGGUCACAUAAGUAGGUCAAAGGUCAAAUGAGGUUCAUUGUUGCAUGAUUGCAUGCAAGACUCUUAAUCGCCUCAAUUUAAUUUGUCCAUGUGGCAUGUUUUUAGGCUAUCUUGAGGAUUGGUUGGAACUUAACAUUUUGGACUCAUUUGGUUGCUAAUGAUUUUGUGGUCCGGAGGUGAAAGAUUGCAUGGCUUAGCAUUACGAGCAUGUAUUCUUGAUAUGUCAGAGACCCUUUGACAAAAUACCACCAAACUUGAUACUAGAGUGUCCCUGGGGAUCAUGGGGAUGUGGUUAUCUAUCAGUAUUAAAAAAAAGUCACAUAACGCAUGAUAUACAUGUACCAGAAAUAAAUUGUUAUUGUUGCUAGAUUAGCCACCAUGCUUGGCACUUGUAUAUUGUAUUACAAUAAGAGGUUGGCAAGUUUACAAAUGGAAGAAAUGUAGGAAUAUAAAAGACAAAUUGUGACAUCAGUGUAUAAAAGCUCUAUGUGAUUUAUACAAUUCAUAAUUUGUGAUAAAAUCAGUGCUUGCUCAUGUGGAAAUGGUGGAUAUUUCAAUUUGUAUCUAUUUGGCAACCUAUAUUCCUUGAAGAAGUUACGGUAGUAAUUAUAAAAUUUACAGCCAAGAGGUCAAACCAUGAGUCAACAAUGUGUUUGGUUUUAGUGACUGUGCAUGUAACUGAGGUGACAGUCGAUCAUGAAAAAGACUAUACUUCGGAACCUGUUGAAAAUCAACAUGGACAGAAGAAAGAUUUGUAGAAUAUCUUAUUGUAAAUAGUCUUCAUUUUUUGUUUAAUGCAAUCAAUGUGACUAAAAUAAUGCAAGCGAAAAAGAGAAAUGAUCACAAGACAGCAAAACAGUUGGUUUCAUGCAUCAUUUGAAUCAAUGAACGUGAAUCAGCUCAACGCCAAAGUAUUGCGGUUCAAGGUUAUACCAUCAAGAGAUAUGCUGCCUGUAACUACUUUGUAGUUUGAAAGGGUGUAUAAAGGAAUAAGGAUACAGUUGGGCAGGCAAGUCUUUCUGUUGGUCUAUUGUAAAAAACUGGGUCAAAUUUUUUCCAAUUUUUACGCAAAUUGUAAUAAAACUUGGUAUACCGAUUGACCCGAGGGUGUGCAAGACACAUUUGUUGUGUCUGUCUGUUAAGGUACCUCCAUGGUAACCAAGCUUUGCACAAAGAAUACAAUUUUGUUUUAAUAAUCUUGUGGAGCAUAUUCUUUCCAAGUUUUAGCAAUUUUAUAGUUUUGGUAUCUUUGAUGAGGCAUUAUAAUAACAGUAUAAAACUCAAUGCAUGUGCAGUGUGUAAAAUAAGUAUGUGAGCAAACUAUUGGAAGUAGUUUGAUCGAUUCAUAUGAAACUCAGUACACACAACGCAGAAUUGUCUUUUGUGUGCGUAUAGGACAUGACCAGUUUUAAAAUGUCUGUGCUAUUUUUUUGAAAAACCUUAUGUUGGAUGUUAAUCACUUGAGGUGAUAUUCAUAGUCGAGCAUUAGGGAAGAUGAAAGACAUAUAUGUACCUAACUAUACUUAAUUUUGUGCU